GCAGAGUAGUAGUAGUCCUAUAGGAGUUGGUUACUACUGUACGAGAGUUGAAACUGAAAGCCAAUGCGGAAGACUGGAUAACUUUCCUCAACUCAUCACUCAUCAAACUCAGAUCAUUGUGCUCGAAACGUCACACCGGUGAUAUCCAAAUAAAUUGCCUGCAUUGGGAACUGCAGUCAUGGAUAAGACACCACAGUGUGGCAACUCUGGAGAAGACGUUAAUACGAGCUUGAAGCAAUCAGAGUGCAUCACAAGCCAGCCG
Molecule: long non-coding RNA, 262 nt
Organism: Scomber japonicus (chub mackerel)
Lineage: Eukaryota; Metazoa; Chordata; Actinopteri; Scombriformes; Scombridae
Exons: 3
Source: RefSeq, a predicted model, not a curated record